Molecule: non-coding RNA, 137 nt
Organism: Ornithorhynchus anatinus (platypus)
Lineage: Eukaryota; Metazoa; Chordata; Mammalia; Monotremata; Ornithorhynchidae
Source: Rfam
ACCCUCUCAGGUUUGCACCUGGAGAGUUUCCAGUACUCUUCCAGUCUUGACUACAAAAGGGAGAGUCAAGCAGAGGCCUACCCAUUCCAUUCCUAGCUUGCCCAGUGGCUAGCGAGUGGAAGGCAAUCCAUACAAGU